Molecule: long non-coding RNA, 595 nt
Organism: Oncorhynchus keta (chum salmon)
Lineage: Eukaryota; Metazoa; Chordata; Actinopteri; Salmoniformes; Salmonidae
Exons: 3
Source: RefSeq, a predicted model, not a curated record
GGGGGAUGGAUGGGCACUGAGUCUGGAGCCCGUCUGGCCUCCUCCAGCUGUUUUAAUGGGCUCUUGGAUGGUGAUACAUGAAAGGCCAGCUAUUCUAGAUACCUGCUGCAUUUAAAUAUUUGAUCUCCACACACCGACUGGGUCAUCAGUUAGCAUUUUAUUCCUCUCCCCUUUCCACAUUAAAGCCUCUUAAAAUGAGACCCGAAGUCCUAAAGGGACCAUCUGUCGUGGCUAGAUGGGGGUAGUCUUCUGUACCUGUUCCCCCCCAAAAGGUUGAAUAUAGAGAGCUCCAGUGUGAAUGGGCCAGUAGCACCAGGUCAGGUUGAAUAUAGAGAGCUCCAGUGUGAAUGGGCCAGUAGCACCAGGUCAGGUUGAAUAUAGAGAGCUCCAGUGUGAAUGGGCCAGUAGAACCAGGUCAGGUUGAAUAUUGAGAGCUCCAGUGUGAAUGGGCCAGUAGGACCAGGUCAGGUUGAAUAUUGAGAGCUCCAGUGUGAAUGGGCCAGUAGGACCAGGUCAAGUUGAAUAUAGAGAGCUCCAGUGUGAAUGGGCCAGUAGGACCAGGUCAGGUUGAAUAUUGAGAGCUCCAGUGUGAAUG